RNAcentral lists this ribosomal RNA (497 nucleotides) under uncultured bacterium. RNAcentral's name for it is "partial 16S ribosomal RNA". It matches the Rfam family "Bacterial small subunit ribosomal RNA", at positions 28 to 507 of the family's 1533-position model. The record is from RNAcentral.
GAUGAACGCUGGCGGCGUGCCUAAUACAUGCAAGUCGAGCGAACGGACGAGAAGCUUGCUUCUCUGAUGCUAGCGGCGGACGGGUGAGUAACACGUGGAUAACCUACCUAUAAGACUGGGAUAACUUCGGGAAACCGGAGCUAAUACCGGAUAAUAUUUUGAACCGCAUGGUUCAAAAGUAAAAGACGGUCUUGCUGCCACUUAUAGAUGGAUCCGCGCUGCAUUAGCUAGUUGGUAAGGUAACGGCUUACCAAGGCAACGAUGCAUAGCCGACCUGAGAGGGUGAUCGGCCACACUGGAACUGAGACACGGUCCAGACUCCUACGGGAGGCAGCAGUAGGGAAUCUUCCGCAAUGGGCGAAAGCCUGACGGAGCAACGCCGCGUGAGUGAUGAAGGUCUUCGGAUCGUAAAACUCUGUUAUUAGGGAAGAACAUAUGUGUAAGUAACUGUGCACAUCUUGACGGUACCUAAUCAGAAAGCCACGGCUAACUACGUG